Molecule: long non-coding RNA, 977 nt
Organism: Canis lupus familiaris (dog)
Lineage: Eukaryota; Metazoa; Chordata; Mammalia; Carnivora; Canidae
Exons: 4
Source: RefSeq, a predicted model, not a curated record
UGCUGAAACUACAUUUCCCAGAGGCCCGCGCGGGGUCGUCGCGCCUCCCCCGUAGUGCAGCUACCCUCCGAGCGCCGAGCGGCACGUGCGGCUCCGGUUCUGUUCCCGUCGGAUCCGAGUCCGCUUCAGCCCUGUGGUAAUGCCCGGGAAGGCGAGACCCGCUAGAAGUUGAAGGCGGGAUACAGUCGGACGGUCGCCGUGGGGAGCGGAUCUGGGGCGCUCCCAGGAGACGGGGUAAGAGCCUAGGACCUUCACCAUCCCUAGGUUCCAUCCUGGCCCACAGGGCAGCUCCAUGGAUGACAGGCCUGACUCGGGGUACCUAGAGCUCUGUCUUUGCCCACAGAGCGGAAGGCCAGUGCUUGGCAACACCAGGAAAUUCAGUUUCCUACAAGAAUGGGGAAAUCCUUGGAAAGGAGUUUCAUCUUGAGUCAAGGAAGAAGAAUCACAUCCUGACAAGGAUAAUCACUUUGUGCCCAAGCCCAGGGCCAUAAAGAAGAGUAGCAACAAUGUCCCCUGAUGCUGAUGCAUUCACAGAAUUUACAACAGACUGACUAUACAGGAGGCUGACAAAUGAACCCUGGCCCAUCCUUAUGGAGAAGCCCUGCAACAGACCCUGGACCAGAACUGAGAGGAAAGGUCUCCUCAGGGAAAAUUGCCUUACCCAAUGAGACCAGGUUACUGUAGUUCUCCAGCAUCACUUCCUGGUACACGUGUCUCUGAGAAGGACCCAGCUUCCUCCACUCAUCCCGCGUAAAGAGCACAGCCACGUCCUCGAAGGUCACUGACAUCUAUAAUGACAAGCCAUCCCAGCUCACCAGGCCCUCCCAUCACACAGACUGAAGAAGGCAGCAGUGGGGGUAGGGGGAUGGGGUGGAUGGGCUGCCAUGAAAUGCUGCUGCUGCUGCUUCUUUGUUUUUAAAGAUUUAUUUGAGAGAGAGAGAGAGAAAGCUGGAGCGGUGGUGAGAGGCAGAGGGAGA